UACGGAGGGUGCGAGCGUUGUCCGGAAUCAUUGGGCGUAAAGGGCGCGUAGGUGGCGGCUUAAGCGUGCGGUGAAAGCUCGGGGCUCAACCCCGAGUCGGCCGUGCGAACUGAGUCGCUUGAGCACUGUAGAGGCAGGCGGAAUUCCGGGUGUAGCGGUGGAAUGCGUAGAGAUCCGGAAGAACACCGGUGGCGAAGGCGGCCUGCUGGGCAGUAGCUGACACUGAGGCGCGACAGCGUGGGAGCAACAGG
Molecule: ribosomal RNA, 251 nt
Filed under: uncultured bacterium
Lineage: Bacteria
Description: partial 16S ribosomal RNA
Rfam family: Bacterial small subunit ribosomal RNA
Source: RNAcentral